Acanthosepion pharaonis is the source of this 114-nucleotide non-coding RNA. The record is from the annotation of a GenBank genome assembly. NCBI's taxonomy places the organism in Eukaryota, Metazoa, Mollusca, Cephalopoda, Sepiida, Sepiidae.
UUACGGCCAUGUCACGUUGAACAGAUCGGUUCUUGUCCAAUCACCGAAGUUAGGCAACGUCGAGCCUGGUCAGUACUUAGAUGGGUGACCGCUUGGGAAUACCAGGUGCUGUAA